This 403-nucleotide ribosomal RNA is filed under the name Verrucomicrobiota bacterium. RNAcentral describes it as "Verrucomicrobia bacterium partial 16S ribosomal RNA". It matches the Rfam family "Bacterial small subunit ribosomal RNA", at positions 355 to 776 of the family's 1533-position model. The record is from RNAcentral. Lineage: Bacteria; Pseudomonadati; Verrucomicrobiota.
UAGGGAAUCUUCCGCAAUGGACGAAAGUCUGACGGAGCAACGCCGCGUGAGUGAAGAAGGUUUUCGAAUCGUAAAGCUCUGUCCUAUGAGAAGAUAAUGACGGUAUCAUAGGAGGAAGCCCCGGCUAAAUACGUGCCAGCAGCCGCGGUAAUACGUAUGGGGCGAGCGUUGUCCGGAAUUAUUGGGCGUAAAGGGUACGUAGGCGGUCUAUUAAGUCAGGUGUGAAAGCGUGAGGCUUAACCUCAUUAAGCACUUGAAACUGAUAGACUUGAGUGAAGGAGAGGAAAGUGGAAUUCCUAGUGUAGCGGUGAAAUGCGUAGAUAUUAGGAGGAAUACCGGUGGCGAAGGCGACUUUCUGGACUUUUACUGACGCUCAGGUACGAAAGCGUGGGGAGCAAACAGG